Molecule: long non-coding RNA, 1731 nt
Organism: Zonotrichia albicollis (white-throated sparrow)
Lineage: Eukaryota; Metazoa; Chordata; Aves; Passeriformes; Passerellidae
Source: Ensembl
CUCUGAACGUGGCCGUGGGUACGGUGUGGUCCCUGUGUCCCCAGGGAUGAGCUCAGGGUGUAGUCGGCCACCCUGGGCCUGAUCCAGAGAGUGCUGGCAUCAGCUGGGGCUUCUGCUGAUGUCGCUGCCUUUGGCUUUUGGUCUGUGCCACUAACUGGUACCACUGAAACUUUUUCUCCCCCUCCCUCCACGUAGAGUAGCGUGUUUUCACACCCGGCGAGCGCUUCGGCAGAGAUGUGAUAUGCAGGAGAAGCCAGGAAGCAUUUGCUAGGUGGAAUUCAGAGACGCUCUGUGCUAGAGAUCAGCAGCGUCUUUGAGACCGUUCUUAGAGGUCCUGGCAAGCAAACUUUAUUCCAGAGCUUCGAAAGGUAUGGCCAGGCUGGGAGCGCCUAACGUCGUGCCACUGAGGACGCGCGUCAGCGCCGGCCGUGCUGAGGCACAGCGGUGUUCAAAUCUCUCCUGAGAACAUUUUUUCUGAGUGACUCCAGCUUCCAGACACAUUUGCCAUGAGAAGGGUUCCAAUCCUUUCCUGUAUUUGCCCUGAGUCAUGAAUGGAUAUGUGUGAUGCCUGCAAGUAAAACUGGUAUGCCCGGCCCCGUGCGACCGCCUGGGGAGCGAUACGAGGAACAAAACCUCAGCUCUACAUUUGCUUUUCCUCCUUUGCUCUGCGGCGCCCAGGUUUUGAUGUGUUGCUUCUCAGAAGGCUUGACGGCGGUAAUAACGGAAACAGCAAAAAAUGUCAGCUUGACUACUGUCUGCGUGUCGGCACUAGUCCAGGGAGUUUCAAAGGGAUGUUUUAUUGAUUCUGUAAUUGCACAGUAGAAUGGACAAACUGAACUGUACCUCAGGGCAAGGAAAGCCCCUGUCUGAACGGCAUCUGUUGGAUGUGUGCGCUGCUGUAAUUUGGGCAGGGCGGUUUGAACCAGGGGACUGAAAGCUUGGCUUAACCCUUUCACUGGAGGCACUGGGGGCUCCAGUUGUGCCUUCUGAUGGCAGCCUGGGAAAAAGAGCUGAUUUGGGGAUCCCUUCUAGCACCAAAGUGACAAUUCGGGGCUCUGCUGGGAUUUAGACCAGCAUUGCUUUUAAAAGGAAAUUGGCACAUGAUCUUUUCCCUGGCGUUACUCUCCAGCUAUUCCCCUCCUCUGGGAUCCUGAGCCCACAGAAUUGUAACUUGCAGUGUUGCCUCACUUGCAAAAUCCACUUCUUAACUGAAAAACUGGUCUUAAUCUCUGAUGAAAUACAUCUGCGUUAUAGUGCUCCUGCCUGGGAGCUGGUAACUUCCUCUAGCACAAGCUGAUUACUUUCCAAAACUGAAGGAGUGGACUGAGCUGUUUUACUAAAACAAUUGCAAAUUAAAUUUGUAAACUUUUGCUGUUGCCAUAUUUUUUCACUGGCAUGCUGUCUGCGUGCUGUGUCUUUAAUUUGGUGAGAACACGAAUCAAUUAGGCUAACCUACAGCAAUGCAGAAACUGAGGGGAAAAAAUUAAAAUGCACUCUCUUGACUUGAUACGUGGGUGCCCAGGGUUUCUGUUCCAAUUAUUCUCUAUUAUUUCUGUUAGCCAACUAGAGCUGGGCAUCCUGCAAAGAGCAGUGCUUCAUCCCCAGGGCAGAGCCCACAAAACCCAGGGGUAGAAGAGCAGUGCAGGAGGAAGCAGAGUCCAGUCAGCAUCACUGAGGAGGACUGUAAGUUUAAUUGGGUUUCACAGUUUCAGGAUAAAAAGAGAAAAAAUC